RNAcentral lists this ribosomal RNA (254 nucleotides) under uncultured bacterium. RNAcentral describes it as "partial 16S ribosomal RNA". It matches the Rfam family "Bacterial small subunit ribosomal RNA", at positions 524 to 776 of the family's 1533-position model. The record is from RNAcentral.
UACGGGGGGAGCAAGCGUUGUUCGGAUUUACUGGGCGUAAAGGGCGCGUAGGCGGCCACCGCAAGUCGGUUGUGAAAUCUCUGGGCUUAACCCAGAAAGGUCAACCGAUACUGCGGGGCUAGAGUGCAGAAGGGGCAACUGGAAUUCUCGGUGUAGCGGUGAAAUGCGUAGAUAUCGAGAGGAACACCUGCGGCGAAGGCGGGUUGCUGGGCUGGCACGUGACGCUGAUGCGCGAAAGCUAGGGAGCGAACGGG